RNAcentral lists this ribosomal RNA (503 nucleotides) under uncultured bacterium. RNAcentral's name for it is "partial 16S ribosomal RNA". It matches the Rfam family "Bacterial small subunit ribosomal RNA", at positions 30 to 523 of the family's 1533-position model. The record is from RNAcentral.
AUUGAACGCUGGCGGCAGGCUUAACACAUGCAAGUCGAGCGGGGUGAUGGUGCUUGCACUAUCACUUAGCGGCGGACGGGUGAGUAAUGCUUAGGAAUCUGCCUAUUGGUGGGGGACAACAUCUCGAAAGGGAUGCUAAUACCGCAUACGUCCUACGGGAGAAAGCAGGGGAUCACUUGUGACCUUGCGCUAAUAGAUGAGCCUAAGUCGGAUUAGCUAGUUGGUGGGGUAAAGGCCUACCAAGGCGACGAUCUGUAGCGGGUCUGAGAGGAUAAGCCGCAACACUGGGACUGAGAGACGGCCCAGAGUCCUACGGGAGGCAGAAGUGGGGAAUAUUGGACAAUGGGGGGAACCCUGAUCCAGCCAUGCCGCGUGUGUGAAGAAGGCCUUAUGGUUGUAAAGCACUUUAAGCGAGGAGGAGGCUCUUUUGGUUAAUACCCAAGAUGAGUGGACGUUACUCGCAGAAUAAGCACCGGCUAACUCUGUGCCAGCCGCCGCAGUAA